RNAcentral lists this ribosomal RNA (468 nucleotides) under uncultured bacterium. RNAcentral describes it as "partial 16S ribosomal RNA". It matches the Rfam family "Bacterial small subunit ribosomal RNA", at positions 28 to 507 of the family's 1533-position model. The record is from RNAcentral.
GACGAACGCUGGCGGCGUGCUUAACACAUGCAAGUCGAACGGAAAGGCCCUGCUUUUGUGGGGUGCUCGAGUGGCGAACGGGUGAGUAACACGUGAGUAACCUGCCCUUGACUUUGGGAUAACUUCAGGAAAAUGGGGCUAAUACCGGAUAGGAGCUCCUGCUGCAUGGUGGGGGUUGGAAAGUUUCGGCGGUUGGGGAUGGCCUCGCGGCUUAUCAGCUUGUUGGUGGGGUAGUGGCUUACCAAGGCUUUGACGGGUAGGCGGCCUGAGAGGGUGACCGGCCACAUGGGGACUGAGGUACGGACCAGACUCCAACGGGAGGCAGCAGGGGGGAAUCUUGCACAACGGGCGCAAGCCUGAUGCAGCAACGCCGCGAGCGGGAUGACGGCCUUUGGGUUGUAAACCGCUUUCGCCUGUGACGAAGAGUGCGUGACGGUAAUGGGUAAAGAAGCACCGGCUAACUACGUG